UGGUCCCUUGUCAAAAUUUGGCAGUGAA
This 28-nucleotide non-coding RNA is filed under the name Homo sapiens (human). The record is from RNAcentral. Lineage: Eukaryota; Metazoa; Chordata; Mammalia; Primates; Hominidae.